RNAcentral lists this ribosomal RNA (856 nucleotides) under uncultured bacterium. RNAcentral's name for it is "bacterial SSU rRNA". It matches the Rfam family "Bacterial small subunit ribosomal RNA", at positions 35 to 908 of the family's 1533-position model. The record is from RNAcentral.
GUGGGGGGGGUGCUUAUAAUGCAGUCGAACGGGUGCUCGCAAGAGCAUCAGUGGCGAACGGGUGAGUAACGCGUUGGUGACCUGCCCUGGAGAGCGGGAUAACAGGCCGAAAGGCUUGCUAAUACCGCAUGUCCAAAUGGUAGUUAGAGAGCCAUUUGGAAAGGACGUAAGUCGCUCUGGGAGGGGCCUGCGACCCAUCAGCUAGUUGGUAAGGUAACGGCCUACCAAGGCGAUGACGGGUAGGGGACCUGAGAGGGUGGCCCCCCACAAUGGAACUGAAACACGGUCCAUACACCUACGGGUGGCAGCAGUAGGGAAUAUUGCUUAAUGGGCGCAAGCCUGAAGCAGCAACGCCGCGUGUGCGAUGAAGGCCUUCGGGUUGUAUAGCACUUUUUGCUGGGAAGAGGAAGGACGGUACCAGCAGAAUAAGCCUCGGCUAACUACGUGCCAGCAGCCGCGGUAAAACGUAGGAGGCGAGCGUUAUCCGGAUUUACUGGGUGUAAAGCGCGUGCAGGCGGUUUGUUAAGUUGGGUGUGAAAGCUUCUGGCUCAACUGGGAGAGGUCGCUCAAGACUGGCAGACUCGAGAGCAGCAGGGGAAGGUGGAAUUCCGGGUGUAGUGGUGAAAUGCGUAGAUAUCCGGAGGAACACCAGUGGCGAAGGCGGCCUUCUGGGCUGCAUCUGACGCUCAGACGCGAAAGCUAGGGGAGCAAACGGGAUUAGAGACCCCGGUAGUCCUAGCCGUAAACGAUGUGAACUUGGCGCCGGUAGGGUAAAACCCGAUCGGUGCCGGAGCAAACGCGAUAAGUUCACCCACCUGGGGGACUACCGGCCGCAAGGGUUAAAACCUCCAAAGGG